GAUGAACGCUGGCGGCGUGCUUAAUACAUGCAAGUCGAGCGAACAGACGAGGCGCUUGCUCCUCUGUCGUUAGCGGCGGACGGGUGAGUAACACGUGGAUAAUCUACUUAUAUGACUGGGAUCACUUCGGGAAACCGGAGCUAAUACCGGAUAAUAUAUUGAACCGCAUGGUUCAAUAGUGAAAUACGGUUUUGCUGUCACUUAUAGAUGGAUCCGCGCCGCAUUAGCUAGUUGGUAAGGUCACGGCUUACCAAGGCAACGAUGCGUAGCCGACCUGAGAGGGUGAUCGGCCACACUGGAACGUAGACACGGUCCAGACUCCUACGAUAGGCAGCAGUAGGGAAUCUUCCGCAAUGGGCGAGAGCCUGACGGAGCAACGCCACGUGAGUGAUGAAGGUCUUCGGAUCGUAAAACUCUGUUAUUAGGGAAGAACAAAUGUGUAAGUAACUAUGCACGUCGUGACGGUACCUAAUCAGAAAGCCACGGCUAACUACGUG
Molecule: ribosomal RNA, 497 nt
Filed under: uncultured bacterium
Lineage: Bacteria
Description: partial 16S ribosomal RNA
Rfam family: Bacterial small subunit ribosomal RNA
Source: RNAcentral